GUAAAUUAGAAAUUUCACCGAUACUUAAAGAGAGAAUGGACAAUAAAAAUCCCUACUUUUUAAUGCAUUUAAAUGGCCUGAUAAGUUUUCAUCCAAAGUAGAAAAUCGUUUCAUUAUUCAAUGAGCAGAGCUGAGAUCAUAUAGAUACAUACAUAGGCGACACCUCACACGACCAGAAAAAUCAUAUGUGACUCUGAGAGUAGCCAGUGUCCGAUUUGAAAUUCAAAUUUCCGCCCAGGAUUGUAAUAAGUGUGGAAUGUAACGGGUCCCAUUCUCGCAAACAUAGAAAAAGAUUCUUCUUCUUCUUUUUCUUCCUUUUCUUUUUGCUAUGUGAUGUGUGCCCGAAUCAGUGUGAUAUAAAUAAAUAAUCAAGGACUAUUGGGAAAUCUCUAUACAGAUACCUUUUAGAUACCCACUAAAAACCCGUCAACCCUUCUUGGGA
This is a long non-coding RNA of Leptopilina boulardi, 442 nucleotides long. RefSeq lists it as uncharacterized. The transcript is spliced from 3 exons. The record is from RefSeq and is a predicted model, not a curated record. NCBI's taxonomy places the organism in Eukaryota, Metazoa, Arthropoda, Insecta, Hymenoptera, Figitidae.